Cervus elaphus (red deer) is the source of this 2121-nucleotide long non-coding RNA. RefSeq lists it as uncharacterized. The transcript has 6 exons. The record is from RefSeq and is a predicted model, not a curated record. Lineage: Eukaryota; Metazoa; Chordata; Mammalia; Artiodactyla; Cervidae.
GGCGAGAAGCUGGGAUCGAGUGGAGAGAAGCUGGGAUCGAGUGGAGAGAAGCUGGGAUCGAGUGGAGAGAAGCUGGGAUCGAGUGGAGAGGAGCUGAGAUCGAGUGGAGAGAAACUGAUUUGAGUGGAGAGAAGCUGGAGUCCAGGGAAGAGAGGCGGGGAUCCAGGGGAGAGAGGCGGGGAUCCAGGGGAGAGAGGCGGGGAUCCAGGGGAGAGAGACGAGGAUCCCGGGAGAGAGGCGGGGAUCCAAGGGAGAGAAGCUGGGAAACAAGUGGAGGAGAAGCUAGUACCCAGGAGAGAGAGGGCGGGGGUCCAGGGCAGGGAGGCGGGGAUCCGGGGCUGAGAGGCGGGGAUCCGGGGCAGAGAGGCGGGGAUCCAGGGGAGGGGAUCUGGGGACUAGUGGAGAGGAGUUGAGAUCCACUGGAGAUAAACAGCGUUCAAGUACAGAGAAGCAGCGAUCAGUAGGGAGAAGCUGGGGACUAGUGAGACAAGUUGGCGCGUUCAAGGAUGGGGAGCAUAAAUGAAGAGCAAAUUGAGAAAGUGGUGGAAGUGAUUGGGAUGAAAGAUUGAUAGAAAUUACCAAUGCUGAGAUGGAAAUUCCUUUUGAAAGUGUAGAGGCGAAUGAUGAAGAAGAGAAUGAGGAAGGGGUGGGGGAGGAGGAGGAUAUCUUGGAAGAAGAGAAUGAUAAUAGUGAUGAAUCUGUUUCUAUGGAAGAGAAAGCAAUUAUAGAGGAAGAAGAAGAAGUGAGUGAGGAGAUGGAGAAUGUAAGAAGGAAAGAGGAGCAAAUAGGGGAUGUUUUGCAAGUCAAAGAGGAGAAAUUAGAGUGAAGCAGAAUGCUAUUGACCCAGAAGGGGUAAAUAGAGAAAGCAUCUGAGCCUAAGAGAAGAAAGAGUGGGAAUGAAGAGCUACUGGGAAUGAAGGUGGACACCAGGACCAAAGGAAGUGAAGAAGUCUGAUAAAGAGGGAAGUGGAACAUUUUGGGAAGAAAGAGAAGAUUUGUUAAUGUGUCGAUAGCUAGAGGAAAAGUGGACAUUGGUUUCUUGGAAAAGAGCUGUGACUAAGGAGCUUGUAGAGAAGUGCUUGAGAAAUGGAUUGAGGAUGGGCCAGAAAGAUUUAGUUUAACAGAUGAUUGAGUUUAUGAGACGUAGGAGAAUGCAUAGUGAGAAAAAUGGACAGUGACAGCGGGAUGAGGAUAGAUCAUGAAGGUGGUGGAAGGAGAUGUGGGCUGGAGUGAUCAAUGUCUGAUAGAGGAUCCUAAAGGAUGAGGAGCUCGACAAAGGCGAGAGCAGAGAUGAGAAAAUAAAGAAGUGACGGAAAAAACAUGACACAUCUCGUUCCCUGACCAGGGAUCAAACCCUGGCCCCCUGCAUUGGGACCAUGGAGCCUUAGCCAGUGGACCACCAGAGAAGUCCUGCAGACCUCUGCCUUCCCAAGAUUAACCACUCUGGGCCUCCUCUGGUGAUAUCUGAGUGUAGAGAAACUGUUGCCCCUCUUCUAAGAGGCAUGCACAGGCACCCAGUCAAGACGGACAGUUUUCUGUUACGUGAGUCUCUCAGAUUGCGCUUCACAGUAUAUAAACUGUGAACUAAAUCAUCAGACUUGUUCUUUGGCUGAAUUACAUUUUCUCCUGGAAUAUGAGAUGCAUUCCACUGAGACCACAGAAAGAAAAAGUGAAGAUCAAGACACCAUGACACCACCUUGUGUUCUGCCCGCUGGAUCCACCGGAAUGAGCCUUUCCCCCUGCUUCAAGUUGGCAGCCAUGUGGUUGGUCUUCCCCACUCGCAGGACAACCUUCUCAGCCUUCUGCACCUCCUCCUUUCCGCUGCGGUUUGUCACACCAGAGCUGCCAACCCUUCUCCCAGAACGUACGCCAAGGGCCCAGGCCUGGCAGCCGCCUCCUCCAUGCCUGGCGAGGCUGUGAUGGAAGAACACUGAGCGGGCACUCAGGCACCCGGGUCCCGGAGUGAUCAGGUCUCCCCAGUGAUCCUAGGUUUUUGACUCAGCCAGGAAAAAAGCAGACCUCGAAGCCUGGCCCCGCACUCUUCUUGUUACUGCCGGCGGGGGACCCCUGGGCGCAUCACAGACUCAUCACCCCACCUCUGGUCUUAGCCCCGUGGCCCCA